This 265-nucleotide ribosomal RNA is filed under the name uncultured soil bacterium. Its description in RNAcentral is "partial 16S ribosomal RNA". It matches the Rfam family "Bacterial small subunit ribosomal RNA", at positions 27 to 296 of the family's 1533-position model. The record is from RNAcentral.
GGGACGAACGCUGGCGGCGUGCUUAACACAUGCAAGUCGAGCGGAAAGGCCUUUCGGGGUACUCGAGCGGCGAACGGGUGAGUAACACGUGAGUAAUCUGCCCAUCGCUUCAGGAUAGCCAUCGGAAACGGUGAUUAAUACUGGAUAUGACAUUCCUUCGCAUGUUGGGGUGUGGAAAGUUUUUUCGGCGGUGGAUGUGCUCGCGGCCUAUCAGCUUGUGGUGGGGUAAUGGCCUACCAAGGCUUUGACGGGUAGCCGGCCUGAG